RNAcentral lists this long non-coding RNA (1383 nucleotides) under Olea europaea subsp. europaea. The record is from RNAcentral. Lineage: Eukaryota; Viridiplantae; Streptophyta; Magnoliopsida; Lamiales; Oleaceae.
UACACAACUUUAUGUACAGCCCCCUCUCACAAUGUGAGGAGUUUCUACAUGAAGAUUAUAUUUGUGUUCCCUUCAGGGGUGUAUGUGUGAUUGCUUUGCACCCAGCACAACUCAUAAAACAAAUCCAAGUGCUCAGAGGACCAAUCGUUGUCGGCCAUCUCUCUCCUUACAUUCUUGAAGAAGAGAAUUUUGGGGAAAAAAUCGCAUUCAGUAUCCAUUAUAUUUUGUUUACUUCAGUAUUUCUAUCACUGAUCAAGAAUAUUGAAUCAGUUAUUGACUAAAUCCUAGUUUCUAGGAUAAUCUUGGGACAGUUCUUGUAAAAUCCCUUCCUUUUCCACAAAAAGAAAAUCAACCUUGGGUUCGAUUCUGGGGGAACCAAGAUCUUCGCCAGGAAGCCGUGAUCGCCAGUUCCAGAGAAUAAUUUCAAAUUUCAAGCAAGUUUAUUUGAAAAAAAAUGCACAUGGAUAAAGAUUUGAUAUUCUUGAACAGUAGAAGACUUUUAAGGGUUUGAAAACAACCCAGGCGUGGGGAGGAUUUAAAGAAACAGAUUUUGCAUGACCUGUCGAUUGGUAUGAAUAUAUGGAUUUGCCAUUGUUCACUUUGCUGAUUGCUAGUUCUGGGUUUUUCGUUGGUUUCUUUCCACUCAUUGUGGAGUCUCAACAAAUGUGAAGCCUCCUCUGCCACACGUUUUCCACCCUCCACCUCCAUCGCAACCGCUCGUUUCCCUACAAACUCCACGCACUCCGCCUCCACCAUCUACGUUCUUGCCUUCUCCACUACCUCCAUCUGAUUCCCUGUGGCUUCCCCAACCUUCUACACACCCACCUCUGCCCCCUACAAAGAAAGGCCUCCGGCCCCCUCCUCCAAAGAAUGCAACCUCGAAGCAUGGGGAUCACAAUCACCAGGAUUCACUUAAAAAUUUGACACCCGCGAAGACGAAGAAACUUAACGAGGGGAAGAAAAUUGGCUUGAUAUUUGUGGGAGUUGUUGCCAUCUUGCAAGUUUUUGUGGUGGCAUUCUUGUUGAUCAGGAGAAGACAAAUUGUAAAGGCCAAAGGUGACUAUUAAAUGAAACAGAACAGCACAUUCCAUACAAAUCACAUAAUCUGUAAUUUUUCUGUUUAUUUCUCUUUUCGUGGCGAAUAAUACUCUUUUACUGUAGAUAUCCACUGGAUUGAGUCUUGCAAUUACGACAAUGAAUGAUGAUACAUCAUGAGAUUUGAAAAUUAAUCAAAGUUGAGUAUCUACGUCUUGGUCACAGAACAAAUGAAUUUGUAUACUUCCUUAAGUAUUAUUUUUGUUAUAGCUUAUCAUUUGUUUAUUCACUAAAAUAUCAAAAUGGAAGGUGUUUUUUUCUUUGAUAUCAUAUUGUGUAUAAUAUAUC